This 424-nucleotide ribosomal RNA is filed under the name uncultured bacterium. RNAcentral describes it as "bacterial SSU rRNA". It matches the Rfam family "Bacterial small subunit ribosomal RNA", at positions 356 to 772 of the family's 1533-position model. The record is from RNAcentral.
GGGGAAUAUUGGACAAUGGGGGCAACCCUGAUCCAGCCAUGCCGCGUGUGUGAAGAAGGCUUUCGGGUUGUAAAGCACUUUCAGUGAGGAAGAAGGCCUUGGGGCUAAUACCCCCGAGGAAGGACAUCACGCACAGAAGAAGCACCGGCUAACUCCGUGCCAGCAGCCGCGGUAAUACGGAGGGUGCGAGCGUUAAUCGGAAUUACUGGGCGUAAAGCGCGCGUAGGCGGCGUGAUAAGCCGGUUGUGAAAGCCCCGGGCUCAACCUGGGAACGGCAUCCGGAACUGUCAGGCUAGAGUGCAGGAGAGGAAGGUAGAAUUCCCGGUGUAGCGGUGAAAUGCGUAGAGAUCGGGAGGAAUACCAGUGGCGAAGGCGGCCUUCUGGACUGACACUGACGCUGAGGUGCGAAAGCGUGGGUAGCAAA